Molecule: non-coding RNA, 31 nt
Filed under: Homo sapiens (human)
Lineage: Eukaryota; Metazoa; Chordata; Mammalia; Primates; Hominidae
Source: RNAcentral
UCUGUGAAUGACAGUAAGUGGGUGAAGGCCC